GGAAUCUUCCACAAUGGGCGAAAGCCUGAUGGAGCGACGCCGCGUGGGGGAUGAAGGUUUUCGGAUCGUAAACCCCUUUUCUCAGGGAAGAGUAAGGACGGUACCUGAGGAAUAAGCAUCGGCUAACUACGUGCCAGCAGCCGCGGUAAUACGUAGGAUGCAAGCGUUGUCCGGAAUCACUGGGCGUAAAGGGUCCGUAGGCGGUUUGUUAAGUCUUCUGUGAAAGUUCAGGGCUCAACCCUGAGAUGUCGGAGGAUACUGGCAAACUCGAGACUGUCAGAGGCAAGUGGAAUUCCCGGGGUAGUGGUGAAAUGCGUAGAUAUCGGGAGGAACACCAGUGGCGAAAGCGGCUUGCUGGGACAGUUCUGACGCUGAGGGACGAAAGCGUGGGUAGCAAAC
RNAcentral lists this ribosomal RNA (399 nucleotides) under uncultured bacterium. RNAcentral describes it as "bacterial SSU rRNA". It matches the Rfam family "Bacterial small subunit ribosomal RNA", at positions 358 to 773 of the family's 1533-position model. The record is from RNAcentral.